Molecule: ribosomal RNA, 264 nt
Filed under: uncultured archaeon
Lineage: Archaea
Description: partial 16S ribosomal RNA
Rfam family: Archaeal small subunit ribosomal RNA
Source: RNAcentral
AGUCACUGACAUUAGACUACCCCCGUAGUCCAGGGUGUAAACGCUGCAGACUUAGUGUUGGAGCCCUUUGGGGGCAUUCAGUGCCGGAGAGAAGUUGUUAAGUCUGCUACUUGGGAGUACGUCCGCAAGGAUGAAACUUAAAGGAAUUGGCGGGGGAGCACCGCAACGGGAGGAGCGUGCGGUUUAAUUGGAUUCAACACCGUAAAACUCACCAGGGAAGACUGUUACAUGAAGGCCGAGAUGAAGACUCUGCUAGAUUUUCAG